This 468-nucleotide ribosomal RNA is filed under the name uncultured bacterium. RNAcentral describes it as "partial 16S ribosomal RNA". It matches the Rfam family "Bacterial small subunit ribosomal RNA", at positions 28 to 507 of the family's 1533-position model. The record is from RNAcentral.
GACGAACGCUGGCGGCGUGCUUAACACAUGCAAGUCGAACGGAAAGGCCCUGCUUUUGUGGGGUGCUCGAGUGGCGAACGGGUGAGUAACACGUGAGUAACCUGCCCUUGACUUUGGGAUAACUUCAGGAAACUGGGGCUAAUACCGGCUAGGAGCUCCUGCUGCAUGGUGGGGGUUGGAAAGUUUCGGCGGUUGGGGAUGGACUCGCGGCUUAUCAGCUUGUUGGUGGGGUAGUGGCUUACCAAGGCUUUGACGGGUAGCCGGCCUGAGAGGGUGACCGGCCACAUUGGGACUGAGAUACGGCCCAGACUCCUACGGGAGGCAGCAGUGGGGAAUAUUGCACAAUGGGCGGAAGCCUGAUGCAGCAACGCCGCGUGCGGGAUGACGGCCUUCGGGGUGUAAACCGCUUUCGCCUGUGACGAAGCGUGAGUGACGGUAAUGGGUAAAGAAGCACCGGCUAACUACGUG